GCUGGGCAUGGUGGCACAUGCCUGUAAUCCCAGCUACUCAGGAGGCUGAGGCAGGAGAAUCACUUGAACCUGGGAGGUGGAGGAUGCGGUGAGCUGACACUGCACCACUGCAUUCCAGCCUGGGCAACAAAGUGAGACCCUGUCUCAA
This is an unclassified non-coding RNA of Callithrix jacchus (white-tufted-ear marmoset), 148 nucleotides long. It matches the Rfam family "Metazoan signal recognition particle RNA". From Rfam's summary of the family: The signal recognition particle (SRP) is a universally conserved ribonucleoprotein. It is involved in the co-translational targeting of proteins to membranes. The eukaryotic SRP consists of a 300-nucleotide 7S RNA and six proteins: SRPs 72, 68, 54, 19, 14, and 9. Lineage: Eukaryota; Metazoa; Chordata; Mammalia; Primates; Cebidae. The record is from Ensembl.